Long non-coding RNA from Corvus hawaiiensis (hawaiian crow), 286 nucleotides. RefSeq lists it as uncharacterized. The record is from RefSeq and is a predicted model, not a curated record. The transcript has 3 exons. Lineage: Eukaryota; Metazoa; Chordata; Aves; Passeriformes; Corvidae.
GUUCUCGCUCUCAGCCUCGCCUCAGGAUCGGCAAGCAGGUGGAGACUCACCGACAACCUUCCAGGUGAGUGUCUGCUCACUCCAUUGCGUUUGGCAAGUGAACAACAGAGGAGAGUACUGAAAUAUUUGGGAAGAGGAAGCCCUUUCCUAAUAUAUGGAUGUUGACCGAACAUUGUAAAGUAGCAUUGGACUCUACCGGAAAGAUGUGAUGGCAAAUACAGAGACUGCUACGGGAAACUGUCCUUAGGCAGAAUUGAAGCAAUAAAAUGGAAGCACAAAGGCCUGU